GAUGAACGCUGCCAGAAUGCUUAACACAUGCAAGUCUUUGGCGAAUCUGUGCUUGCACAGGCUAGCCAAGGCGGACGGGUGAGUAACGCGUAAAGAACUUGCCCUGCAGACAGGGAUAACAGACGGAAACGACUGAUAACACCUGAUACAGUUGCCGGCACGCAUGUGCCUGGCAAUGAAAAGAGAUGCUGCAGGAGAGCUUUGCGUCCUAUUAGCUUGUUGGUGAGGUGACGGCUCACCAAGGCGAUGAUAGGUAGCCGGCCUGAGAGGGUGAACGGCCACAAGGGGACUGAGAUACGGCCCUUACUCCUACGGGAGGCAGCAGUGGGGAAUAUUGGACAAUGGGGGCAACCCUGAUCCAGCAAUUCUGUGUGCACGAAGAAGGUUUUCGGAGUGUAAAGUGCUUUCAGCAGGGAAGAAGAAAGUGACGGUACCUGCAGAAGAAGCGACGGCUAAAUACGUG
This 463-nucleotide ribosomal RNA is filed under the name uncultured bacterium. Its description in RNAcentral is "partial 16S ribosomal RNA". It matches the Rfam family "Bacterial small subunit ribosomal RNA", at positions 28 to 507 of the family's 1533-position model. The record is from RNAcentral.